UUUGGUAAGGUGUGAUAAAAAAUAAAAUAAAAAUAAAGAGCUGAAAUUGUAAUGCAUCUCAACAUAAAUGGGGACGUCAUUUUUUUAUCACCCAGAACAUACAACAACUUAGUAGUUUUGCGUAGUUGCAUUUACAGAUAGCAUCAAACUUAGUUAUGAUGUUCUGUGAUUUAAUGUUCUUUCCAUCCCCAAUUACAAGUACUAUGGUAUAUAUUCUCUAUCUCAGCUUAGAAUCCAUUCCAUUACAUUGAAGGAGUUAUGGAAAGAAUUUACAACUGAGUUUAAUGGGAAUCAUAAUCUUUGAACAAAAUAUUAUGGGUUUCUAAGAGCGGCCAAACGUUCCUCAAGUUCAUCAAUGCCAGAG
RNAcentral lists this long non-coding RNA (364 nucleotides) under Arachis ipaensis. RNAcentral's name for it is "long non-coding RNA (AIPA_LNC000314)". The record is from RNAcentral. Lineage: Eukaryota; Viridiplantae; Streptophyta; Magnoliopsida; Fabales; Fabaceae.